Molecule: long non-coding RNA, 4621 nt
Organism: Mus musculus (house mouse)
Lineage: Eukaryota; Metazoa; Chordata; Mammalia; Rodentia; Muridae
Product: predicted gene, 33945
Exons: 4
Source: RefSeq, a predicted model, not a curated record
UUACCCAAUCACUGAUAUUGUAUAAAAAAGAACAUAAUUAACACCACAUACCACAAAGUGCCACCAGCAGAGCCCCUGACCGAAGCAGCAGGAUUCCAUUCCAACCGUUGACGCUGGGUUACUUCAGAUGGCCAAGCUGAAUCAACACAACCCACAGGAAGCUUGGGUCUUCUUCCCAGCAGAAGUCACCAGCCACACAGAAGCAGCAUGGAGAGAGGAGGACUCUGACCUGGAGUUGGCUCUGAUUCAGAACAUGCCUGUGGGAAGUAAGUCAGCUCUGAGAUCCAAGAGUGUAGGCGGUCAAAAGUCCGUGAGCUUCUCCAGUCCUUGGAAGGAACUGUCCACAGCACACACUCGGCAAGCCCUGGGGAGUGCUUCGUUCCAGUGUAAGAUGGCAGCUUCCCUGAUGUAGAAACUUCGAAUGGAGUAUUUCCCGAGACUUUCCUUCAUUUGUCUAGCUAUCUGUUGGCCCCUAAACAUGUGUACAUACCAUUGGCACAUCCAGGUAAGUAGAUAUGUGGUCAUAUAUAUGAACUAACACAUAAUGUUUAUGUAGAUUGAGCUUCUUCCAAAGUUAAAUUAUGUUUUAUUGCACAGUAAUCAUGCUUUCUCACAACGGACACUUUUCUAAGUCAGUAACUCAGCACUUCCCAAUUUUCAAGGGCUUCCUAGAAUCCUAUUGGAUGACUAUGUCAUUGUCUGCCUAACAUUUACAAUUCUGAAAUUAUUUCUAGUUUUUUCCUGCUCACAAUCUUGGAAAGAACUACCUUGCUUUUCAUAAUUAGCAUGCUUUUCUACCUGUGUAGUAACUAGAACUGAGCCUGGGCUACACAUAUGCCUGGCAGGCUCUCCAUCAGAGUGCUACCUCACCUAAACACAUGUUAGGCAGGCUCUCCAUCAGUGUGUUGUAUCACCUAAAGACAUGCUAGGUGGGCUCUCAUUCACUGUGCUAUACUACCAGCUCUACACUACUUAUCUUACAAGUGCUCAUAUUCAACUCCUUCUGCUUUUAGACAGAAAAUACAAAGUCCUUCAGGAACCCAGAGGUUUUUUUUUUUUUUUGCAUUGAUGCAAAGUCCCAGUAAGCACUUCUUGGACUGUCAUUAACUGAAUCAUAUCAAAAGGUCAUUCUAAGAGGUCAACAUACCUAUUCCUCUCCCACAUAUAUGAACAUAGGGAGUUUGUAUCAUAGAAUGUUUUUACUUUAUUGGAGAGUGUUUUCUCUUCCAGAGAUGUCAAAAUAUGAGCUUCAGAAGUCACAGAAAUGGAAAUUUCCUCAUAACAACAGUUCUCAGGGUGUAGUGGUAAGAAUGGAAACUAAGACCCCAUCUGUAGCAGCCUUUGGCUACUUGGUAGGUUCUUUCUUCCACCUUUCUCCACCCUUUUUUCCCCUUUCAACCCCCUAUAACUAGAUAAGAGAGAACAUGGAUAGAGAGGAAAGGGGGCAAUGCUAUUGUUAGAAUACUUCCUGCUAAUUAAGGGUGUUGAGUUCCUUGGGGCAAGUUCGAUCUUCAACAUCAAGGAUAUUUAAUUUUUAGUUCUUUGCACACAACUACUUAACACACCACAACCAACAGCAACCAACCUACCUCUACUUCUCAGGGCCCUGGCAUUUAUAUACUCUUUGAAAAGUUCCCAGAAUUCCACACAGUUGCAGAAUCUAUCACUGACAAAAAUCACACCCCUAUUAGAGCAUGAGGCAAAUCAUAGUCAAUUUGCCUUGUGCUUAUCUGAAGCAAUCAGAUCUGAAGCAGGCCCUAUCCCACACAUGGGAUUAAAAUGAAACUAUAUUGCCAUAUUUCUUUGAUUUAAAAAGCAAAACAAAAAUAAACCAAGCAACUAACCAACCAAACAACUCCAAACUUAGGUAAGUUACCCGCAGAAAGGUUAUUUAGAAUUAGAUGAUUUAAUUAAUGCAUGAUGAGUGCCCUGCUUAGAGACAGUAGUCAGGAAUCGAACGCAUUCAGCUCUGCUCUUCAGAAAGUCUCAUCAUUGGUAAACAGGAAGAUCAAAUCACGUGUCUUCUUCACUUUCACUCUUUUGUGUUCAGAGUGGUCCUGAAUUCCCACAAGUUAAUGGAAUGAGAACAAUGUUACCAAUUACCUUUAGUUUGUAAUCAAUGUCCUGUCUAGCUCUGUAUUCUGUGGGGGCUCUAAAGGAUGCUGUGAGCUUAUUCUCAAGUGUAACUCCAGUCUGUGACCUAUGGGAAGCCUGUGCCAGGCGUCUGAGGUCUGAAUCAACAAUUUGUCAUUACCACCUGCCCUACUAUGUUCCCAAGAGGAGCACUGCCAGGAUAAUGAAUCCUUCAAGGCAGUUGAACAAAUGGCUGUUUCUGGUUCUCUACAUACUUCCCUAGUGUUUGUCUUGGUAAAUGAGAGAGGUUCUCUGCACCCUUGGAUUUUCAUUUCCUGUGCUCUCUUCUCCUGAUAAAUUGAGAGGGUUUUCCUGAAAUGAGAUAUGACAGCCUCCAUGGAGACGAAGCAGGGGUCCAGAAACCCAAGACAUAGUUUUCUUUGCAUUGAGUGACAGUUCCAUGCCACAGGGUGAUGUUGAAGUAUGGUUACUGCUCUGAGCAGAGAUGGCUCUGUUGGACUCCUGCCCUCUGUCUGCCAGCAGAAACUCCUUGCAGGCAAUGUGGACUAGGAAAAUCAACAAUCCAAGAUCCACAGGUCCCAGAAAUAUCCUGAGAGUGGGAGGGAGAUGGAGCAGCAAGCAUCUAAGCAUUUCUUGUGCCUGUUCCUUCCUUUCCUUCAUAUCCUAUUCAAAUUCCUCUCAUACACUUAUUAGGGUAGAACAGUGAAAUUAACCCACCACUCGAUGUGUCCUGAGUGGGAGUGCAGGAAAUGCCUGAUUCUCACUGGAUUAGUCCUACAUUUCUGGUCCAAAGCAUACUUGCUUUCCAAAGAAGGAAUGUGUUUCAGCCAAUGUGACGGUGUGAUCAUAUUUAGGAGAUGUGAUUGACAAUAACAUGCUAUAUAAGUUUGGAGGGUGGAAUUGUUCCAUCUGUGCAUUUUAAGAGAUCUGUGCUUGAACACAAGGAUCACUGAACACCAAGAAUAGCAUUAUGCCCUUUCUUGUGACUGGCUUCGGUGAACUUAGUCACCUGGGGCCUGCCAUAUCUGGAGUAGCGCAUGAGCUCAGGGUAGUGUUCCACAUUUUCUCUCACACCUACAACCUGCUGUCAUUACCUGUCCUGAUGUUAUUAAAACCUUCUGUUCUCUAGCCAGUCCUUCCCUUCUGUAAUGCUCAUGCUGUUUUUCAAGGCAUGGGAUGUCUACCCUCAAGGUGGAUUUCUCUGGAAAACAUCCUGAUGUGACUCCCUGCCAAGGAUCUGUCCAACAUCCUGUUGCAUACUGGAGAAAUCUGAUGCUCACUUGAUGACUCUCUGUCUUUCCAUACCACAUGACUCUGGCCUCAUUAUACCUAAUUACAUUACACCUUGUUCUCAGAACACAGUAAGCCACUUUCUGCCUUCACAUUAACUCCCAUGGCACCAGCUCCACCUUGAUACCUCUUGUCCCACCCCCAUUCCCUGGAAAAAGCAAUAUUUUUCUCCUAAUCCUGCCUUCAAGUGUUGCAGCUCUGAGGGAAAAGGUAUCCUGGUAGUAGAAAGCCAAGGAAUGUCACAAAGCCACACCACAAAAUAAAUAUCACACAAGAGAUGUAUUGGGAGAGACUGAAGAGUGUGGGUGCUUUCCCCAGUGUUCCGUCGUAGCAGUGAGAAAAAACAGGUAAUACAACUUCACAUGUGAGAAACUGAAAACCAAAACAUUCCACAAGGGGCUCUGAUCAGUCAAGACAACCAGAGCAUCGAGGACUCUGGGAAAGGAAUGCCCGGGAGGAGCCGAGUUUUCAGACCACUGCCCUCAGAGACAGGGUCUAGACUCCCAAAUGUCGCUUCUGACUACAGUACAGUCUGUGGCCUUGUUUGCUUCUUCACCAACUUCAUCCAAUAAGCUACGUUCUCAGGACAAUUCACAGUGGCUCUAUCUGGCAAUGAAAGGUCUACAGUGCUGUUCUAUCACAGCACACGGUGGCUGGAAGCUCCUCUCCACAUGCUCCCUCUGUAGUCCAUUUCCACCCCCACCCGUGUUCUCAGCCUCCACUGUCAUCUAUUUGUGGCUGCUGCUCCGGAAGCCGUUAAUCACCCUGCGUGUCUGGUGGCUGGUUUAUGGCUCAGACGUGAACCCUCUGAUGUAUCCUCAGCACCGUUGGUGGUACAGCAGCCUCCGCUGCCUUGCUCUUUCCUCUACGCGCGUAAAAAUGUGCAACUCCGAAGACAACGAACGUCCUGAUCUCUUCAGAGAGAAAUGAACUUGUCCUACCGGCAGCCAUUUUCCUCCCAGGUUCUGUAUUUCUGUAUUUAAAACCACAUGCUAUAAGAUCAGCUGCUGUGCAUGCCUGCUGAGUAAACUCCGGUGGGGAUACUAAAACCCGCGGCUCCUACUUCUCAAGGAAUGACUAGGUUAGGAUGUGCACAUGGGUCUCAGCACCCCAUGCAUUCCAAGGACAAUUGUCGCAGAACUGAACCAUAACACUGAAUAGUCCUGUGUUAUAAGAAUUAUGGUUUUGAUUGGAAAAGUAGGUUAAUACAUUACUUACAUUUCUAUCCAGAUUUUUA